This 49-nucleotide small nuclear RNA is filed under the name Brugia malayi. RNAcentral describes it as "RNA transcript Bm16851". Lineage: Eukaryota; Metazoa; Nematoda; Chromadorea; Rhabditida; Onchocercidae. The record is from RNAcentral.
AAACUCUGGGCCGAAACAUUCAAUUACCUCAAACUUGGGUAAUUAAACC